GUUUUAUAUUCGUACAACUUUCCUUGACAACUGUACAAUACAAAGCCCAGUGGCAGAGUAGGAAGUAACAGGUGGGGUCAGCAUGUUAAUAAAGAAGUAAACCCAGAGUCUGGCAGACUCUCACAUCUCAAACCCAGAUAACACCAAGGGAGGAGGCGGCGGGUGUCGUCCUGUAUUAUAGCAGGAGGUGUGAUAGAGAUGCAGACGAGGGAAGGCUGCGCUCGCUGACAUGGAAGAAUCCCUCUCUGUUCCCCUGUCGAUCACAGGCUCCUUUUAAAAAUCACUCCAUUUUAAGUCCACCGUGAGGAUGUACACAGGUGGAGAGGAGGGCAGCUGCUCCAUCACUGGGUGACGCUCCACAUCCUGUGACUGGCUGGAUUCUGUCUGCGAUGCGGCUGCUGCUCCUGGAACAUUGAGCCGGGAGAUUUAUCUUGUGAGCACAUGUAGGCUCACAUGCUCCAGGGUGAGAACCAGGCUGGGGACUACUCGUGGGUUGUCUUUAAGGACACUUGAGGUGUUGCACAGACAUGACGAGCCCUCUGGCUUUCCCUCUGGCGCCACCAUGAGGUCAUUGUUUGGGGCUUCGAGCGAGACGGCUCAACAACUGUUGAUCGACUGCUGUGAAAUGUGGCUCAGAUGUUCAUUUUUGCCUCAGGAUGAAUUGUAAUCACUUCACAGAGGAAGGAGACCUGAUCACAUCUUUUAUUUCAAGAGGUAAAAGCGGGAAUACCACAGAGCAGAAAUACUGUUACAAAUAAAAGCUAAGCAUUCAAAAAUGUUUACUUACUGUUUAUAUUUGUACAUAGUAUGUAUGUACAAGUCUGUUCUUCUAUUUCUUACAUUCUAAUUAUUUUCGUUCAUUUGUUACUAACAUUAUUGCUUGUUGUGAAACUGAAC
Molecule: long non-coding RNA, 897 nt
Organism: Acanthopagrus latus (yellowfin seabream)
Lineage: Eukaryota; Metazoa; Chordata; Actinopteri; Spariformes; Sparidae
Exons: 5
Source: RefSeq, a predicted model, not a curated record